AAAAACUCCAUAUAAAUGCAUUCCUACCCUUUCUUUCACUGGGUUUUGAUUCGAAGCCUUCUCAGCAGCAAUGGGCAAAGGAAACACCUUAGAGGAGGACAAUAUUCCUGAGGAGGGAUCAUCAUACAUUUUAAUCACUCCAAGCCCAAGCACAGGGUGACCUCCAGGCAUGGUCCUCUCAGCCACAAUCAGUCAGUGGCAGUGAUCCAAGUGCCCACAAGGAGCUAUCUACAUCCAUCAGACUGCCAUCUAUAAGCACAUACAUGAGAUGGAAAGAAAAUACCUCAGAAUAUUUUAGCCAACAUGGGCAGGUACAUAGAAAAAAACCUAACAUUUUAGACACAGAUAAGUAUGUAUUCUAUGCCAGGUGUCACAUGAUGAAAUCUGAAGUUUUGGCAUCUG
Long non-coding RNA from Pristis pectinata (smalltooth sawfish), 402 nucleotides. RefSeq lists it as uncharacterized. The transcript is spliced from 4 exons. The record is from RefSeq and is a predicted model, not a curated record. NCBI's taxonomy places the organism in Eukaryota, Metazoa, Chordata, Chondrichthyes, Rhinopristiformes, Pristidae.